This 254-nucleotide ribosomal RNA is filed under the name uncultured bacterium. RNAcentral describes it as "partial 16S ribosomal RNA". It matches the Rfam family "Bacterial small subunit ribosomal RNA", at positions 524 to 776 of the family's 1533-position model. The record is from RNAcentral.
UACAGAGGCCUCGAGCGUUGUUCGGAAUUACUGGGCGUAAAGGGAAUGUAGGUGGUGACGUAAGUCAGAUGUGAAAGCCCCCGGGCUUAACCUGGGAAGUGCAUUUGAUACUGCGCCGCUGGAGUGCGAGAGAGGAAAGUGGAAUUCCUAGUGUAGGAGUGAAAUCCGUAGAUAUUAGGAGGAAUACCGAUGGCGAAGGCAACUUUCUGGCUCGUAACUGACACUGAGAUUCGAAAGCGUGGGUAGCAAACAGG